Notolabrus celidotus (New Zealand spotty) is the source of this 750-nucleotide long non-coding RNA. RefSeq lists it as uncharacterized. NCBI's taxonomy places the organism in Eukaryota, Metazoa, Chordata, Actinopteri, Labriformes, Labridae. The record is from RefSeq and is a predicted model, not a curated record. The transcript has 4 exons.
CUUACCCACUCAUCUCUGAGGUCUCCUCCUCUUCCUGGUUGUCAUAGCGAGCAGGUGACCGUGCAUGAGGAGGUGUGCGGCGUUGGCGGCGGUGUGUGUGUGACUGUGUGUCUGCAUCGCUGUCUGUCUCUCCAUAGUAAGCCUCGCUGUCAGGAGGGGAAGUAAUGCCGCUGGGUAUCCCUGUGGGGGAGAGGAUGGAGGAACGGUUGGAGGUGGGAGACAGGACCCUCGUGGAGGAGCGGGACGAUGUAGAGUGAGAAGAGGAGUGGAAACCAGGAGGGGCCCUGGAAACACACAGACAACAAGUCGUGAAAAUGUUGAGUGUGGCAUUCUGCGUAUCUAUGAGGCUCAUGGCCUGAGCAUGACUGAGAUCAGCACAACAAUCAUCCCCAAUGGCAACCAGCUCGUCAUGCUCCUUCAGUCCAGCUCUGCACGCUUUGCUGCGCCUACGUACCUAUGGAGAUGAAAAGCUCCUCUUAAAUGAGCUAUUCUGAUCCUGCAGUUUGUGCUCCCGUCCCACCAGGGCUUAUCUGAGGUCUUCAGCAAGUAUCAGUAUUGAUUUAAGUUUUUUUUACAGUAAGAUUGAUUUCAGUUGAACUACAUUAAUGAUGUAAACAAUUGUGGGAAUGCUGUGGUGCAACUCAACAAGAAACGCUGUCAAAUUUUAAGCUGUCUGUGCAUCUGUUGUUAUUUGUUUAUUUAUUUUUGGGUGUAUGUAGUGGUCGUUGCUAUGAUUAUGUUUUUAUAUGU